AAUGCUAAUUUUAUCUGAAAAAUACAUGUACCUCAAUAAUUUUAUCAAGGGCAUGUUUUGUGCUAGAUACUACUCUUUAUGUUAGGAAUAUAAGCAAUUGUAUAAGAUACUUACAGAUUGCAGUAAGUGGUAAAAAAUAUAACAUGAAGAGGGAAUAGUGAUGAGAAGGUAACUAUAUAGGGGAGUGGUCAGGGAGUGCUUCACUGAAGAUGUAAAAUAUGAACUGAAACCUAUAUCCUGAUUUAAAAUAGCUUUGCAGAUGUUUUAGGUAAAUAGCAGCAAGCGAACAAUACCAAAGUAGAAUGACUCCUGCCUGCUACAUUUCCCCAGAUACCCAGGACCUUCAUGCUGUCACUCUCCAUGACCUGACCAACAUCUAUUUUGAGAAAUUAUUUUAUAUACUCAUUCAAACAGUCAUCUUUUGUGUCCAGAGUUGGUUCCUUCUGGUGGGUUCGUGGUCUCGCUAACUUCAAGAAUGGAGCCACGGACCUUCGCGAUUUACAUACAAAUGAACCACCAAUGUCCCCUUCUAUCAACUCAGAAUAAAAUCUGGUUUUAGCAUAUGCAGUCCUACGAGACAUGGUUAAAGGAUAUGAAUGAUAGAUAGAGAUAAAAGAAAUCAAGGACCAUUCCUCCACAAGUCUCCAAAGAGGAAAACAACAAUCGAAGAAAAAAGAGUGAGAGAACAGAUGGGCUGGCAGAGUUUUGCUUUCUAUGUGACAUUGUGUACUUAUUAUUCGCAUGAGGACUAAUUUAUAAACCCGGAUAGUGUUUAUAAACUAUACUGUCCUAAUGGAAAUGAAAGCAUUAAUACAACUAGAAGAUUC
This 827-nucleotide long non-coding RNA is filed under the name Homo sapiens (human). Its description in RNAcentral is "novel transcript". Lineage: Eukaryota; Metazoa; Chordata; Mammalia; Primates; Hominidae. The record is from RNAcentral.